This 2349-nucleotide long non-coding RNA is filed under the name Medicago truncatula (barrel medic). RNAcentral's name for it is "lncRNA gene9861". Lineage: Eukaryota; Viridiplantae; Streptophyta; Magnoliopsida; Fabales; Fabaceae. The record is from RNAcentral.
CUCAUUUUAGUUUUCAUCUUCUUCUCCCCGGAAUCAGGAUCUCUGCUACCACUCUUCCGAUGACCACCCCUCUUUCCAACGGUUACCGUUCAAUCUCAGGUGAAGAUUGAUUAUUCUUUCUUCUUAUCUCCUUCGAUUAAUUCAUUAAGGUUUCUUCAUGUCCUAGAUCUCGCCCUCCCAAAUAUUUUCAAUUUUUAAAUCCAGUUUAAUUGAUUUAUCCCAAUCCCAUUUUACAAAUUCUUAUAUGCUUUCGAAUUCACUAUAUACAAAUUCACUUGUAUAAACAAUUUUUUUAAUUCAGUUUAUUUGAUUUAUCCCUAUAUACAAAUUGAUUUAUCCCUAUCUACAAAUUAACUUUCAGUAACGUUUUUGCAAUCAAAUUCAUUUGGUUAUACAUUCAAGAUGAUUUAAUUAGAUUGAAAAUAUUAAUUUAAUUUCGUUUAGCUAUGAUUGUGGAGAAGAAGAUGAAAAGGAAAAUGAGUUUAUGAGAAUUGAUGUAAUAAGGUUAAGUAUAUAUUUGACAUUUUAAUCUCAACCAUUUAUUUUUUAGCUAAUGGUUGAUGAUUAUCCCAUAUAAGAUAGUCAUUCUCAUAGUAUAAAUCCUCAUAUUUAUGAUUAUAAAUAAUGGGAAAUUUGUUGCAUGAAGGGAAAACAUAGUAGCACCGAAGUAUGAAUAUAAAUGAUGGAUUUUAAAUUGGUUUAAUAUAUGCUUUUGUCCCUUAAUUUAUUUUUGAAUUUUAAUUUGGUCCCCUAACUUUAAACUGUCUCAAUUUGCUUAUUUUUGGAUUUCAAUUUGGUCCCCUAACUUUAAACUGUCUCAAUUUGCUUAUUUUUGGAUUUCAAUUUGGUCCCCUAACUUUAAACUGUCUCAAUUUGGUCUCCUAAGUAUAUCCCCGUUUACCCAAGUGGUCAUUUAUGUUAGUAUUUUUAAAAAAAACGUUAACUUUGUUCAUGUAACCAACAUGGACAAAGUUAACGUUUUUUUACAAAAACUAACAGAAAGGACCAGUUGGAUAAACGGAGGAAACGGGGCGGGGUGGGGACGAGUUUUACCUUCCCUAUCCUCAUACCCUAUUCUCAUAUACUUACCCGUUACCCUACCCAUACCCAACGGGGAUGAGAAAUCGAACCCCAUCCCCGUCCCCGUCCCCGACGGGUCGGGGAUCUCAUCCCCGUACCCGCAGUGAAUUAUUUUUUAAUGAAAAAAAGUAUUUUUUUCCAACCCCAAUGGAAAUUUUGUAAAGCAUUAUGUUCCCUUUAACAUUUGCUUAACAUAAUCAUUUGGUAGCUCAAAGGCAAUUUUUAUGACAUAGGGAUUAUUAAACCAGAUAACAUAACAUGAUCUAGGGUUGUGUUUCUAUUUAUGUAAAAAGGGGUAAAAAAAAUAAUUUUUUACGUUUGGGACGGGUAUGGGUAUGAGUUCGGGGUGGGUAUAUAUAACCCCGUUACUCGUCCCAUACCCGUGUUUUGAAAUCGGGAAAAACCCAAACCCAUACCCAGACCAAGUCAAAGUGAGGAAAACCCGUCAAAUCGGGAUGGGUUAGGGCGGGUACCCAUGAGGACGGGUAUUGUUGCCAUGUCUGAACGGAGGUAUACUUAGGGGACUAAAUUGAGACAGUUUAAAGUUAGGGGACCAAAUUAAAAUUCAAAAAUAAAUUAAGGGAUCAAAGUAUGUAUUAAGCCUUUUAAAUUCAACCAUUGGAAAAGCAAUGAAAAACUCUUCACCACAAUGUUUGAAGCUUUGUGUGGCUUCACCAGAUCAAAUUCAUCGAUUAAUUGAAAUGCAUAAAUGGAUAUUUCCAAAAUUCUCUAUGGUGGUAAUGACCUUUAGUUUUUGUUUAUUUUCUUUUCUUCUUCUGUCAAGUAAUUUGUCGGUUAGAUCUCACAUAUUUUAAAUAAGAAGAAGUGAAGAUAAUCCCAACAUAGUAUUGUCCUUGCAACUACCAUUAAAUUGCACCUGGAUAAUACUUUCCUUACAGCUACCAACUAAGGACACGAUUUGUUUGGGUAUAGGAUAAUUUUCUUGAGACAAAAUCCCUAAUUAAUUUUAAAGAUAACAAACCUUGAUGAUUAAAGAAUUAAUGGACUAUGAUUAAUUUAUUGGUAUUUAACUUGUGCUCUUGAGUGGUUAACUAAGACAGAAUCAAGUUUCAAUUCAUACCAAGAUACAAAGAAUCAAAGGACAUAAAGACUUAAGAACUCAGUCAGAGUUUAGAAAGUUAAAAAGAGUUCAGAAGAUUGGACAAAGUUCAGAAGGUUGUUAAUGAUGAACAUCAAGAACCAGACCCAUAAAUUCAUGAACCAAAUGAAGAACAUGCAAGGUUCACGUGACUUAAAUAAAAGCUCAGU